This 335-nucleotide long non-coding RNA is filed under the name Vulpes vulpes (red fox). RNAcentral describes it as "lncRNA (ENSVVUG00000026452.1)". Lineage: Eukaryota; Metazoa; Chordata; Mammalia; Carnivora; Canidae. The record is from RNAcentral.
CGAAGCAGUGGGUGUCUCGCAGCUUCUUGCUGCACAGCUGGGCUCUCAAAUUUAGAGUCCAUGAGCUUUGAGAAAAGCUCACAGACAUAAUUACGUUCUCCACCAAUAGCCAGGCUCAAUCCAGAGAGGUGUUGGCUCAGUUUGCAUCAGGCUGUGUCAUGGCACCACAGAUUUAAAUUGUGUUCUUCCACAACAGAAGGCAUCUUAGAAGUCUUUUCUCCAGAAGGAUUUGUGUUUUCUUCUGCACAGGAUCCAGGGAGACACAACUGACCUAUAGACUAUUUCAAGCCCCUGUAGGGGUCCAAGAUUAUGUAGGACUCUGGACAAGUUCUCUC